GAUGAACGCUGGCGGCGUGCCUAAUACAUGCAAGUCGAGCGAACGGACGAGAAGCUUGCUUUUCUGAUGUUAGCGGCGGACGGGUGAGUAACACGUGGAUAACCUACCUAUAAGACUGGGAUAACUUCGGGAAACCGGAGCUAAUACCGGAUAAUAUUUUGAACCGCAUGGUUCAAAAGUGAAAGACGGUCUUGCUGUCACCUAUAGAUGGAUCCGCGCUGCAUUAGCUAGUUGGUAAGGUAACGGCUUACCAAGGCAACGAUGCAUAGCCGACCUGAGAGGGUGAUCGGCCACACUGGAACUGAGACACGGUCCAGACUCGUACGGGAGGCAGCAGUAGGGAAUCUUCCGCAAUGGGCGAAAGCCUGACGGAGCAACGCCGCGUGAGUGAUGAAGGUCUUCGGAUCGUAAAACUCUGUUAUUAGGGAAUAACAUAUGUGUAAGUAACUGUGCACAUCUUGACGGUACCUAAUCAGAAAGCCACGGCUAACUACGUG
This 497-nucleotide ribosomal RNA is filed under the name uncultured bacterium. RNAcentral describes it as "partial 16S ribosomal RNA". It matches the Rfam family "Bacterial small subunit ribosomal RNA", at positions 28 to 507 of the family's 1533-position model. The record is from RNAcentral.